This 370-nucleotide long non-coding RNA is filed under the name Malus domestica (apple). Its description in RNAcentral is "long non-coding RNA (MDOM_LNC004287)". Lineage: Eukaryota; Viridiplantae; Streptophyta; Magnoliopsida; Rosales; Rosaceae. The record is from RNAcentral.
AAUUCAAGCCCGAAAAUUCGGUACCUCUGAUGGUGAGGCCGGAGCAGCAAUGGCCACCUCAGCCACCGCCGCUGCAGCAGCAAGAUCAUCAGGGACUGAUGAUGGGUACUGAUCAUCAUCAGAACCAAGGGGAGGAUUAUCAUGAUCAGCAAGAUAAAGAGAACAAUAUCGGUGAUGACGAUGAUGAUGAGGAGGAUGAAGAGGAGGAGGAUGAGGAGGAGGAGGAUGAUGAUGAUGAAGGAGAUGGGAACUAUGAGAUAGUGGCAAACAAACAAGCUCCAGUGGGUGCAGCAACAGCUGAAUGACUGAGUCAUGACUUGAGAAAAAGCGCAACAUAACAUGGAUUCAAAGAAAGUGGGUCAGAUUUUGC